RNAcentral lists this small nuclear RNA (107 nucleotides) under Octodon degus (degu). The record is from RNAcentral. Lineage: Eukaryota; Metazoa; Chordata; Mammalia; Rodentia; Octodontidae.
GUGCUUGCUUCAGCAGCACAUAUGCUAAAAUUGGAACGAUACAGAGAAGAUUAACAUGGCCCCUGUGCAAGGAUGACACGCAAAUUUGUGAAGAAUUCCAUAUUAAA